RNAcentral lists this ribosomal RNA (407 nucleotides) under Verrucomicrobiota bacterium. RNAcentral describes it as "Verrucomicrobia bacterium partial 16S ribosomal RNA". It matches the Rfam family "Bacterial small subunit ribosomal RNA", at positions 355 to 776 of the family's 1533-position model. Lineage: Bacteria; Pseudomonadati; Verrucomicrobiota. The record is from RNAcentral.
UGGGGAAUAUUGGACAAUGGAGGAAACUCUGAUCCAGCAAUUCUGUGUGUGUGAAGAAGGUUUUAGGACUGUAAAACACUUUUAGUAGGGAAGAAAAAAAUGACGGUACCUACAGAAGAAGCAACGGCUAAAUACGUGCCAGCAGCCGCGGUAAUACGUAUGUUGCGAGCGUUAUCCGGAAUUAUUGGGCUUAAAGGGCAUCGAGGCGGUAAGACAAGUUGAAGGUGAAAACCUGUGGCUCAACCAUAGGCUUGCCUACAAAACUGUUGAACUAGAGUACUGGAAAGGUGGGUGGAACUACACGAGUAGAGGUGAAAUUCGUAGAUAUGUGUAGGAAUGCCGAUGAUGAAGAUAACUCACUGGACAGAAACUGACGCUGAAGUGCGAAAGCUAGGGGAGCAAACAGG